Ribozyme from Gadus morhua (Atlantic cod), 305 nucleotides. It matches the Rfam family "Nuclear RNase P". From Rfam's summary of the family: Ribonuclease P (RNase P) is a ubiquitous endoribonuclease, found in archaea, bacteria and eukarya as well as chloroplasts and mitochondria. Its best characterised activity is the generation of mature 5'-ends of tRNAs by cleaving the 5'-leader elements of precursor-tRNAs. Cellular RNase Ps are ribonucleoproteins. NCBI's taxonomy places the organism in Eukaryota, Metazoa, Chordata, Actinopteri, Gadiformes, Gadidae. The record is from Ensembl.
GUGGGAGGAAGCUCAUUGUAGAGGUUACAUGCAGAGUGCUCGUCACUCGACCAAUCACCUCGGGGAAGGUCUGAGACAUGAGCCAAUUGUUGCCCUAGCAGGGUAUCACCUGAUCCGGGUGAGUGGGUGCACAGAAACUAUGGGCCGAGUGUGUUGUUCUAACAGGAGAAGCUAGAUGGUGUUAAUUUCAGCGCCACUAGUGGAUGUAGACUCACUGCCUUGGAAUCACCCACGGCUGGCGAAUGAGUGCGAUGGAUGAGGUGGAGCACAGCUCCAGAACCCAAUUCAGACUACUCUCCUCCCAC